GGGAAGUGGCAGUAGCUCAGUGGCAGAGCACCUGCCUGGCAUACAGAAGGUCCCAGGUUCAAUCCCCAGUGUCCCCA
This is a non-coding RNA of Podarcis lilfordi (Lilford's wall lizard), 77 nucleotides long. NCBI's taxonomy places the organism in Eukaryota, Metazoa, Chordata, Lepidosauria, Squamata, Lacertidae. The record is from the annotation of a GenBank genome assembly.